This is a non-coding RNA of Delphinapterus leucas (beluga whale), 72 nucleotides long. The record is from the annotation of a RefSeq genome assembly. Lineage: Eukaryota; Metazoa; Chordata; Mammalia; Artiodactyla; Monodontidae.
UCCCUUGUGGUCCAGUGGUUAGGACUCCACUCUUCCACUGCAGUGGCCCAGGUUCGAUUCCUGGUGGGGGAA